Long non-coding RNA from Carassius auratus (goldfish), 525 nucleotides. RefSeq lists it as uncharacterized. Lineage: Eukaryota; Metazoa; Chordata; Actinopteri; Cypriniformes; Cyprinidae. The record is from RefSeq and is a predicted model, not a curated record. The transcript is spliced from 3 exons.
CAAAAAGCGAAUACGACUUUCUGCUCUAAUGUAAACGCCUGCAGUUGUCCAUAUCGACAUGUAAAUCAUACAAUUACGUACGAUAUAGUCGGACUGCAGGUCUAAAAGAACCGACGAUCCGGUUCAAAUAAACCGGUUCAGUAAUUCUCGAACAAAGUAAUUCCCGGAAAAGAAUCGACGUCUCUUCAAAGUGACGCACGCACAGCGAGGGCCGCGUUAGUGAGGUGAUUUGAUGCUUGUGUGGUUUAUAAAGUAUUUUCACAUACAAAUUGUAAUUCAAAAUGUGUUUUUUUCCUGUCAGAAAAGCACAUGGAUACAUUUGUGAGAGGAAAAACUCGUCAAAUGCAGUCUUAUUGAGGCGUCUAAAGGUCUGAACAAACCUGGAAUUCCUUAACCUAACAGAGUCCACAAAACCCCAUCCAAUUGUCAUGGUGAUUUAAAAAUGCCAGCAGAUCUCUCAGGCAUUAUCAUAAUCAAUGGACAGGUCACCGUAGCCACCAGAUCCAGUCUGUAUCCAGAUCAGAG